AGGCAUUCUGGGAAGCCGAGCAGGGGGCAGGAAGCAUUGCUGGAGCCCCACUGGGGCCAAUGGUGACUCUGCCACAUGCUCUGAGCAAACCAACCAACGAACGAACAUGUCACAGCUAGAAUCGAGAGGGGUUUGGGGGAGACUGGCAGUGGGGACCCUCUCACACCUGGGGACCAGCGGUCUAGUCCUCAGGAGGGACUGAAUAAAGCAUGGAAGAACUGGGUGGUUCACGAAGGCAGGCCCGUUGCUGGCUGAAACCAGGACAUUGCUUUAAAAGUAACUUCAAUGGGGACAAAUCUCCAGACAGGCCUGCCUGUCUCCUAACACGCUGAAUAUAGCCAAGACACUGGAGAGCAGAGGUCCAGUUUCACUUCUGAAUAAGGAAGGAAAGCUCUUAAUCUUCUGGAGAGGAUGCCAGG
Long non-coding RNA from Bubalus bubalis (water buffalo), 419 nucleotides. RefSeq lists it as uncharacterized. The transcript is spliced from 4 exons. The record is from RefSeq and is a predicted model, not a curated record. NCBI's taxonomy places the organism in Eukaryota, Metazoa, Chordata, Mammalia, Artiodactyla, Bovidae.